UGUGGUUCACAACCAUUGGUGACUCCAGUC
This 30-nucleotide non-coding RNA is filed under the name Mus musculus (house mouse). The record is from RNAcentral. Lineage: Eukaryota; Metazoa; Chordata; Mammalia; Rodentia; Muridae.